RNAcentral lists this ribosomal RNA (474 nucleotides) under uncultured bacterium. RNAcentral's name for it is "bacterial SSU rRNA". It matches the Rfam family "Bacterial small subunit ribosomal RNA", at positions 335 to 801 of the family's 1533-position model. The record is from RNAcentral.
ACUCCUACGGGAGGCAGCAGUCGAGAAUAAUUCACAAUGGGGGAAACCCUGAUGGUGCAACGCCGCGUGGAGGAUGAAGGCCCUAGGGUCGUAAACUCCUGUCAUUCGAGAGCAAGACCUGGGUGUUAACAGCACACAGGGUUGAUAGUAUCGAAAGAGGAAGGGACGGCUAACUUCGUGCCAGCAGCCGCGGUAAUACGAAAGGUCCCGAGCGUUGUUCGGAAUCACUGGGCGUAAAGGGAGCGUAGGCGGUUCGGUAAGUCAGGUGUGAAAUCCCGGGGCUCAACCCCGGAACUGCACCCGAUACUGCCGGACUUGAGUGAUGGAGGGGUAACUGGAAUUCUCGGUGUAGCAGUGAAAUGCGUGGAUAUCGAGAGGAACACUCGUGGCGAAGGCGAGUUACUGGACAUCUACUGACGCUGAGGCUCGAAAGGCCAGGGGAGCGAAAGGGAUUAGAUACCCUGGUAGACAUCA